Molecule: transfer RNA, 81 nt
Filed under: Mesorhizobium sp. B2-4-2
Lineage: Bacteria; Pseudomonadati; Pseudomonadota; Alphaproteobacteria; Hyphomicrobiales; Phyllobacteriaceae
Description: tRNA-Thr
Source: RNAcentral
GCCGCUCUCUUCAUAACUCGGCCGAAUGUAAGCGGGUUUGUAAACCGAAGGUCGGGAGUUCAAUCCUCUCCGCCGGCACCA